CACAAGCGGUGGAGCAUGUGGUUUAAUUCGAUGCAACGCGAAGAACCUUACCUGGUCUUGACAUCCACAGAACUUUCCAGAGAUGGAUUGGUGCCUUCGGGAACUGUGAGACAGGUGCUGCAUGGCUGUCGUCAGCUCGUGUUGUGAAAUGUUGGGUUAAGUCCCGCAACGAGCGCAACCCUUAUCCUUUGUUGCCAGCGGUCCGGCCGGGAACUCAAAGGAGACUGCCAGUGAUAAACUGGAGGAAGGUGGGGAUGACGUCAAGUCAUCAUGGCCCUUACGACCAGGGCUACACACGUGCUACAAUGGCGCAUACAAAGAGAAGCGACCUCGCGAGAGCAAGCGGACCUCAUAAAGUGCGUCGUAGUCCGGAUUGGAGUCUGCAACUCGACUCCAUGAAGUCGGAAUCGCUAGUAAUCGUAGAUCAGAAUGCUACGGUGAAUACGUUCCCGGGCCUU
RNAcentral lists this ribosomal RNA (458 nucleotides) under uncultured Enterobacteriaceae bacterium. RNAcentral describes it as "bacterial SSU rRNA". It matches the Rfam family "Bacterial small subunit ribosomal RNA", at positions 924 to 1382 of the family's 1533-position model. Lineage: Bacteria; Pseudomonadati; Pseudomonadota; Gammaproteobacteria; Enterobacterales; Enterobacteriaceae. The record is from RNAcentral.